This 66-nucleotide transfer RNA is filed under the name Hydrophilidae sp. BMNH 1274333. Its description in RNAcentral is "tRNA-Tyr". It matches the Rfam family "tRNA". Rfam says of the family: Transfer RNA (tRNA) molecules are approximately 80 nucleotides in length. Their secondary structure includes four short double-helical elements and three loops (D, anti-codon, and T loops). Further hydrogen bonds mediate the characteristic L-shaped molecular structure. tRNAs have two regions of fundamental functional importance: the anti-codon, which is responsible for specific mRNA codon recognition, and the 3' end, to which the tRNAs corresponding amino acid is attached (by aminoacyl-tRNA synthetases). tRNAs cope with the degeneracy of the genetic code in two manners: having more than one tRNA (with a specific anti-codon) for a particular amino acid; and 'wobble' base-pairing, i.e. permitting non-standard base-pairing at the 3rd anti-codon position. RNAcentral also lists the same sequence under 1 other name. Lineage: Eukaryota; Metazoa; Arthropoda; Insecta; Coleoptera; Hydrophilidae. The record is from RNAcentral.
AGUAAGAUGGCUGAGGUUAGGCAAUAAACUGUAAAUUUAUUAACGAAAUAUUAAUUUCUCUUACUA